AGUGAACGCUGGCGGUAGGCCUAACACAUGCAAGUCGAACGGCAGCACAGGAGAGCUUGCUCUCUGGGUGGCGAGUGGCGGACGGGUGAGGAAUACAUCGGAAUCUACUCUGUCGUGGGGGAUAACGUAGGGAAACUUACGCUAAUACCGCGUACGACCUACGGGUGAAAGCAGGGGAUCUUCGGACCUUGCGCGAUUGAAUGAGCCGAUGUCGGAUUAGCUAGUUGGCGGGGUAAAGGCCCACCAAGGCGACGAUCCGUAGCUGGUCUGAGAGGAUAAUCAGACACACUGGAACUGAGACACGGUCCAGACUCCUACGGGAGGCAGCAGUGGGGAAUAUUAGACAAUGGGCGCAGGCCUGAUCCAGCCGUACCGCGUGGGUGAAGAAGGCCUUCGGGUUGUAAAGCCCUUUUGUUGGGAAAGAAAUCCAGCUGGCUAAUACCCGGUUGGGAUGACGGUACCCAAAGAAUAAGCACCGGCUAACUUCGUGCCAGCAGCCGCCGCGG
This 506-nucleotide ribosomal RNA is filed under the name uncultured bacterium. RNAcentral describes it as "partial 16S ribosomal RNA". It matches the Rfam family "Bacterial small subunit ribosomal RNA", at positions 29 to 523 of the family's 1533-position model. The record is from RNAcentral.